Molecule: ribosomal RNA, 443 nt
Filed under: uncultured bacterium
Lineage: Bacteria
Description: partial 16S ribosomal RNA
Rfam family: Bacterial small subunit ribosomal RNA
Source: RNAcentral
CCUACGGGUGGCUGCAGUGGGGAAUAUUGGGCAAUGGGCGCAAGCCUGACCCAGCAACGCCGCGUGAAGGAAGAAGGCUUUCGGGUUGUAAACUUCUUUUCUCAGGGACGAAGAAAGUGACGGUACCUGAGGAAUAAGCCACGGCUAACUACGUGCCAGCAGCCGCGGUAAUACGUAGGUGGCAAGCGUUAUCCGGAUUUAUUGGGUGUAAAGGGCGUGUAGGCGGGAGGGUAAGUCAGAUGUGAAAACGCAGAGCUCAACCCUAGGCCUGCAUUUGAAACUGUGUUGCUUGAGUGCUGGAGAGGCAAUCGGAAUGCCGGGUGUAGCGGUGAAAUGCGUAGAUAUAAGGAGGAACACCAGUGGCGAAGGCGGAUUGCUGGACAGUAACUGACGCUGAGGCGCGAAAGCGUGGGGAGCAAACAGGAUUAGAUACCCUUGUAGUC